UAUUUCUGCCUUGUAAAGGUACAGACAGCAGAGGCGCAGAAAAAGCUGUCAGAUACAGAUUGACAAAGCCGCAGCCCCCUUUCGCUUGGCAGAGCCUUUACAGCGACACUUUUAAAACAAAGACAAUUGCACCCGGUAAUAACAGGUAUACAAUACUGAGCAAGUACAAAAGGAAACCAAUCAAGAUUAUACGAUAUUUGUACAAUACUCCCAAACAAGAAAACAGAACCUACAUGCUAACGUACAUAGCACCCAAAGUACUGUUCGACGCGUUGAAGAGGUCAAAAUUAUUGUUCACAUAAGGUAUAUACAUAUUCGUAUAGCGCUACCAAUCCCUGCAAAAUAUAGAACGCAGAUUUUCAUUACACACACGCACGCACGCACGUGCACAGCACACACACACACCAAAAGGAAACGGUAACGCGCUCACAGGAAGCGCCUGAAAAACGAAAAAAAAGGAAAAGUGUGGGGAACCGAGGUCGUCUUGGGCUGUCGCCUCUCCCUCUCCCAGAAGGAAUGAAGAGGUUCUUGGAAAGCAGGGACGGGCGAUUCUCUCUGUCAGCAUCAGCUCCCACCAGCGAGGACGGGGCGAGAAAGCGAAACGGGACUUUCCUUGCUGUCUAUUUUUUCUUCGUCAGGCCAACGCCGCUUGCUUGCAGGGGCGCAGGCGAGUUCCCGCCAAAUGGCGCGGGUGCGUGAGUUGCCGCCAAAUGCUAGCUCUGGAUGCCAGCUCGUUCCGCGUCUCAUGGUAGACUAGUUGGUGCAUUUCUGUUAUCAUGGACUGCGCAUAUAAACGCAAGCUACACAAAAGUGACAUGGACAAGAACAGCGCAAGCCCUUUACAUGCAGUGGAGCCGCCGUAUCUCGCCGUUCAAGAUAUGCGUACUCGUAAAAAAAAAAAAGAGGCUUUACAUGAGAACGGAUCAAGCGUUCGAGAGUUGGGACAGGGAAAUGUGAGACGUACUUUCAUGUAUAUAUUUCUAAUAUUAUUUUUUCGUCUUGUAUUCUCGUUAAUUUUUCUCUAGGAAACACUGGAACGACACUGCUUAAAUUGAAGCACAGUGUGCGAAUGACCUGCUACGCUCGGAACUGUUAUCACCAUUCGGGAAGAAAUUGGAUGAAAAAACAUAACUGUAAAUACCUGUAUGAUAUACGUCUGGUGCAUUGCAGGUAAGAAUGGAUUGUGUGUGGCGCGCUUCACCGCAUGUGGACUAGAGUAGAUCUAGGAACAUCAGACAAGAAGACACGUAUGUGAAACCCUGCGGAUAGCCCAUAUGUGAACUUUUUUUCCAGAUACGGAGGAACGGACACCGGUCGUGCCGUGAGCACUAUUCUGCAGGGCAUACUUACAAAUGAAGCUGCACUGCAGUUCAGCUGGAAAGGGUCGCAGGGGAGGAAGCACGCCUUCGUGAAGCUCAUGGCCAUCACGAAUAUAAGUAAGAAAUAUGGCAUAACAAUCAGCUUUCUAGUGCACGUUGCGAACAUCGGUACCAACUGCAUGCUUAGUUUUUUUUUUCUUCAUUCAAACAAGCUGCUGCUUAUUGCAUCUUGCUGCGUCCAGUAUUAGCAUUUUCUUUAAUAAAAUAAUGCCGUAAUAAGUGAGUUCUACUUGCGGCGUCCAUAUUUUGCCACUGCUUUUGAGGAGUUUGUUUUGCUUCACCAUAUAAUAUAUGCUGUAUAUGCUGUUUCUGCUUUAACCCGUGUAUGCUAACUGUUUUCUGCAAAACAUAGACCUAUCAUCGUUGCCAUCAUGUCAGCAAGUAUAUGUAUCAUGCCAUAAGCUUCCCCUCUUGCCUCUCCAGACAUUUACCUAUUCACCUCCUUGUGCCGCUUGGCGCGCUCCGGGCUCCGGCGCG
Molecule: long non-coding RNA, 1856 nt
Organism: Dermacentor andersoni
Lineage: Eukaryota; Metazoa; Arthropoda; Arachnida; Ixodida; Ixodidae
Source: RefSeq, a predicted model, not a curated record